Molecule: long non-coding RNA, 230 nt
Filed under: Trifolium pratense (red clover)
Lineage: Eukaryota; Viridiplantae; Streptophyta; Magnoliopsida; Fabales; Fabaceae
Description: long non-coding RNA (TPRA_LNC007681)
Source: RNAcentral
ACUAUUUAUUUAAUAAAAUUAGCUUAAUAUUUUACUAUUUCUUUGCAUUUUUCGUAGUAUUAUUACUAUUAUUUUUAUGUAUUUCAGGAAUGUCCGAAAGCUACCAAAUAAUUUAUAAGUUACAAAAUAAAUGCUAAUAAAGAAUUGAAUCGGAUCAGGAAGCAAAAAAGGAGGUGAAUGCCAAAACAAACAAGUGCCAAUUGGGCCACAAAAGCCACAAUAUAGCAGCC